AACAACGGAUCUCUUGGCUCUGGCAUCGAUGAAGAACGCAGCGAAAUGCGUAUAAGUAAUGUGAAUUGCAGAAUUCAGUGAAUCAUCGAAUCUUUGAACGCACAUUGCGCCCGCCAGUAUUCUGGCGGGCAUGCC
RNAcentral lists this ribosomal RNA (135 nucleotides) under Fusarium solani. Its description in RNAcentral is "5.8S ribosomal RNA". It matches the Rfam family "5.8S ribosomal RNA", at positions 8 to 141 of the family's 154-position model. Rfam says of the family: 5.8S ribosomal RNA (5.8S rRNA) is a component of the large subunit of the eukaryotic ribosome. It is transcribed by RNA polymerase I as part of the 45S precursor that also contains 18S and 28S rRNA. Lineage: Eukaryota; Fungi; Ascomycota; Sordariomycetes; Hypocreales; Nectriaceae. The record is from RNAcentral.